This 753-nucleotide non-coding RNA is filed under the name Pongo abelii (Sumatran orangutan). The record is from RNAcentral. Lineage: Eukaryota; Metazoa; Chordata; Mammalia; Primates; Hominidae.
AGGAGGAAUUUAUCAAAGGAGACAGAAAAAGCAUCAAGGCAAGCUGUGAAAUGGUGCAGUAGGAACCAAAUAGAGAGCCAAAGGAUCUCUCUGUCACUGCAGGCCCUUAGGGAGGACACAGCAAGAAGCCUCUCCCAGAUGCUGGCACCUUGAUCUUGGACUUCCGCAGCCUCUGGAAUUGUGAGAGAGGAGGUCUCACUGUAUCAGCUCAGCUGGAGUGCAGUGGUGAGAUCAGAGCUCACCGCAGCCUCCAAACUCCUGCUCUCAAGCAAUCCUCCUGCCUCAGCCUCCCAAGUAGCGGGGACUACAGAGAAUAUACAACUCCUCUGCCACAACGUGAGGGAGAGAAGUCUGCAGACGGCUGACUGGUGAAGACUGAACAAGACGGAAAGUUGCCAACAGCAGAGACAACUGUGAGACACAGUGAAAUGAAGUGACUGCUCCACUACUGGGCAACAGGCGACCCGGUUGCCAGGCUCCCUGGCAGAAGAAAUAGAAAGUCAAUAGCAAACACGGAUGCCUUCCUUCCUACCACAUCACCUCCACUUUUCACCAUCGCCUGUGUGAUACACCCACCUCGCAAUGCCUUCCUCAGCCUUUUACUUCUGUUUCCAGUGAGUCAAGAAAAACUUCUCCAGCUUGCCCUGUGGAGAUGAAUGAACCCAUAAUCCACUACACAGUGACUGUGACCUUUACACAGCCAAGACCCCCACAGAGCAGCCAAACAUGCAGUCCUGCAAACAAAAGGAAUUU